This 253-nucleotide ribosomal RNA is filed under the name uncultured bacterium. Its description in RNAcentral is "partial 16S ribosomal RNA". It matches the Rfam family "Bacterial small subunit ribosomal RNA", at positions 524 to 776 of the family's 1533-position model. The record is from RNAcentral.
UACGUAGGGGGCAAGCGUUGUCCGGAUUUAUUGGGCGUAAAGAGCGUGUAGGCGGUUAGGUAGGUCCGUUGUGAAAACUCGAGGCUCAACCUCGAGACGCCGAUGGAAACCAUCUGACUAGAGUCCGGAAGAGGAGAGUGGAAUUCCUGGUGUAGCGGUGAAAUGCGCAGAUAUCAGGAAGAACACCUGUGGCUAAGGCGGCUCUCUAGUACGUGACUGACGCUGAGACGCGAAAGCGUGGGGAGCGAACAGG